UCAAGGUGGAAGGGGGAAGAGGGGGGGGGGAGUUUGCCUAUUUUAGAGGGAUGGCCACGUGAGGUGGCAGUCCGGCGGUGAGUAGCGGAUUGGGCAGGUGGCAAGGUGGCGUUGACACUGUCGUUGCCGCGUGGCUGGUGCUGGUAGCGAGGGUAAAGUAGAAGGACAUUAGGAUGUAACGUCCCGCCUCCCCCAGGCCGGGCCCACUUACAUCUGAUAGCUUUCAUAGGUCAUAGACUGCCCUCACAGACCAACACAUAUCUUUUCUGCACACUUUGUCCUCACUCAUGUGCACCCGGGUUCCCGGUCGGUCACCCAUCCCUGCCCUCACAGACCAACACAUAUCUUUUCUGCACACUUUGUCCUCACUCAUGUGCACCCGGGUUCCCGGUCGGUCACCCAUCCCAAAUUGCUCCAGGCCAAGCACGCUUAACCCUGGAGUUCUUUGGAGAUUGGCUUCCGGAAAAGAAGUUGCAACUUGUUGAUAUGAGUAUUCUAUUAAUCCUAUUAAGCCCUAGGCUGGGAUGUUACACCCUCACCCCCUUAAGAGAGAUCGACGCCCCCGUCGAUCAACCCUAGGCCAGGAACGUCCUCUCUUGGCCACGUCCAUGUGUCCAGUGCCAGCGCAUGUGCCAUGCUGUGUAACCACUCCCGGUCUACACCAGCCAUGCGCACCAUGCCUGCGCAACUGCGACACACGCGCCCGUGAAACCGCGAGAGUCGGCUCUGAUACCAUUUUGUAACGUCCCGCCUCCCCCAGGCCGGGCCCACUUACAUCUGAUAGCUUUCAUAGGUCAUAGACUGCCCUCACAGACCAACACAUAUCUUUUCUGCACACUUUGUCCUCACUCAUGUGCACCCGGGUUCCCGGUCGGUCACCCAUCCCAAAUUGCUCCAGGCCAAGCACGCUUAACCCUGGAGUUCUUUAGAUAUUGGCUUCCGGAAAAGAAGUU
RNAcentral lists this long non-coding RNA (953 nucleotides) under Oryza sativa (Asian cultivated rice). RNAcentral's name for it is "long non-coding RNA (OSAT_LNC001093)". The record is from RNAcentral. Lineage: Eukaryota; Viridiplantae; Streptophyta; Magnoliopsida; Poales; Poaceae.